Molecule: ribosomal RNA, 484 nt
Filed under: uncultured bacterium
Lineage: Bacteria
Description: partial 16S ribosomal RNA
Rfam family: Bacterial small subunit ribosomal RNA
Source: RNAcentral
AGUGAACGCUGGCGGCAGGCCUAACACAUGCAAGUCGAGCGGCAGCGGGUCCUUCGGGAUGCCUGCGAGCGGCGGACGGGUGAGGAAUACAUCGGAAUCUGCCCUGUCGUGGGGGAUAACCUAGGGAAACUUAGGCUAAUACCGCAUACGACCUACGGGUGAAAGCGGGGGAUCGCAAGACCUCGCGCGACAGCAUGAGCCGAUGUCCGAUUAGCUAGUUGGCGGGGUAAAGGCCCACCAAGGCGACGAUCGGUAGCUGGUCUGAGAGGAUGAUCAGCCACACUGGGACUGAGACACGGCCCAGACUCCUACGGGAGGCAGCAGUGGGGAAUAUGGGACAAUGGGCGCAAGCCUGAUCCAGGCAUGCCGCGUGCGUGAAGAAGGCCUUCGGGUUGUAAAGCCCUUUUGUCCGGGAAGAAAUCGGCUGGGCUAAUACCCCGGGCGGAUGACGGUACCGGAAGAAUAAGCACCGGCUAACUUCGUG